CACUUAGUGAGGUCUGGGGAGGGUAGUGUGUACGCAGACCUUACCCCUACCCUUGGGUAGAGAGGUUGUUUCUAAAUAGACCCCUGGCAUCCUUCCCUCCGGCAUCCUUCCCUCCAAGAACUUCUCACCUUGCUCUUGGGGAGACUCGAACUCAACCUCUCGGUUGGAAGUGGGGGUUGCUUACCAUCAGAGCAACCCGUCUUGUCUAGUUUGGCUUGACACAUACUUUAAUAAAGAAUUGAAGACUUUUGAGAGAUGUGGUCUUACAUAAGUCAUAUCAUAUGUGUGACAGUAAAACUUUUAAAACUUGUAAUCUCAAACCUAUCAUAUCUUGUCUGAUGGUUGGCUGAACAUAAAUUUUAAUAUAAGAUAUUUGUAACAUUAAUUAAAUGAAAAUAUUUAAAGGAAAAAUUUGUCGAAUCAUUAUUUUAUAAAAUAAAAAUAAAUAAGUUGAAAUAAUUGUUACACAAAAAUUUAAAAUAAGAUAGAUGAGUGUAAUAUCAUAAACUACAAGGAAUGUUAAGUAUUAUGAAGCGAAACUUAAUGGGAGGUCUCUAAAAUUGUCUCAAAAAUAUAAAUUACCUUCUGAUUAGGGGUACAAAUCGAACCGAAAAAUACCAAAAAGUUAAUUAAACCAAUUAAAUUAUUUAAGUAAGUUUGAUUUAAUUUGUAAGUAAAAAAAUCCGACCCAAACCGAAAUAUAAAUAUAUAAUUUUUAUAUAUAAUUUUAAGAUUUUAUAUAGAAUUUUUAAAAAUAAUAUCUAGAAAUAUUCGGGAUUAUCUUGUUGGAUAUAACAGUUAAUAGUAUAUGAAGGAGUUCAUAUUUAUUAACCUUAAAUAAUGGAUUGUAUGAUCACUUUCUCAUCAAAUGUUACUAAAUGUGUUAAUCUCUUUGUUCUUCCAUAUUCAUAUCAUAUGUUAAGAUCUAGUAAAUUGUUAUAAACGUUCAAAUGUGAAGUGAUUAUUAGUAUUUAGGUAUCAUAUUGAUUAUAUGUUUAAGUACUAAAUUCGGUUAACGUUGAAAAUGUACGUACAUCAACGAAAUAUUAUUGUCAGACAACUAAAAAAUAACUAUUACGUGUUACUAAUAAAAUUCUCUAAUAAGAAUAUUUUAUUAGAUAAAAUGUUUGUCAAUUUUUAUUAUUUUUAUUAAAUAUAUAUUUACUUAUAAAAAAUUUAACAAAGUAAGAUUGAAAAUAUUUAAAUAACGGAAAACCCGGAAAACCCAAAAAUUCCGACAAAACCAAAACCAAUCCAAAUUGAUGUAGUUGAUUUGGUUUAAUUAUUUAAAAAAAUCAAACCUACCUAGUUUAUGUACACCCUUACUUCUAACAUAUGAAUAGUAUUUUAGUGUUGCAGAUAAAGAAUGUAUGUACUAUAUAUCACAAAGUGGUGUUGAGUAAAGAUUGAAUUAAAGUUUCUUAUCAAUUUAAGGGAUUUCAAUUCAAUCUAAACUCGGAAAUUCAUACUUCUAUAGAUAAAAUUAUUUCGUUCUUUUAGCCUUUUUUUUAAUUAGGGAGGUUUCUGAAGGAAACAUACUAAUGAAUACUUAUAAGCGCAAAAUGAAUGUAUGUACAUCACACCUCCUACGACUAUUGCAUAAGCUCUGAAUGUACCCGAAGUAAGUCAUGGACUUUGGAUCUACUAAAUGAUAGGAGGGCGGACACAUCUCUUCUUACCUUUUCUUGUAUUUAGCUUAUGUUUCAGUCUUUUUAUUAAUUUAUUACUUACUCUUUUCAACUUUGUGAAUCAAAUUCCUUAUUUUCUUUUCUUUUAUUUUAUUUACAAUUACAGUUAUAGCCUUUCUCUGUAAGGUGAGAGUGGAAUUUAUCCUUUCCAUUCACUCAUUUCUUCCGUUUCAUCGAUUUUGUCCGGAUCCCACCUUUCUCCCGAAAAAACGGAAGGAGAAGGAUAAGGAUCUUCUUCAGUGGAUCCCUCUUGUUCCUGUUUAGUCCCCUACAUUUCGGAAGCUGUUUCUAUUUCUACAUCUCUUUCUUCCUCACUUUCCACCCUUUCUUCUGUUUUUGAGGCUUCUUUUAGUUUCUUAGUAAGAAUGGAUCCCUCUUGUUCCUGUUUAGUCCCCUACAUUUCGGAAGCUGUUUCUAUUUCUACGUCUCUUUCUUCCUCACUUUCCACCCUUUUCUUCUGUUUUUGAGGCUUCUUUUAGUUUCUUAGUAAGAAUGGGUGGGGUAUUCUGCCUAAAUAGUAGACACAGGUAAUAAAUAAGAGAAUACUAAAGAUCCGAGCCAUAGAAUUUCUCAAUUCUAAUACAAGGUACUUAUUAGAUCGAAUGUAUAGAUCCCUAAAAAAACAAAGAAAAAGCUAUAAUAAUACAUAAACUUGAAGAUGUUGAUGCAACCGCAUUUGAGGGAAAAGAUAAUUUGCAACAAUACGAAAGAAGAUGACAAAAAGAACAAUAAAGAUCAAAGUUUAACGACUAACAAAACAUUAACAAAAAUUAGUGAGCAUUCUUUUACAAUGAACUAAACUAUGAUGUAACUUGAUUUUUGAAGUUGUAUAUUGUCAAAAAAAAUGUUAUUGUUGGUAUGUCAAUCCAAAUAUCAAUUUUAGUAUUUUUUUCUUCUUCAUAUAAAAUUAACUUAAAUUGACAGAGCACUCAGAAAUUAAUUUGUACUCUUAACUUGCUUUCAUCAUUUUGAUUCACAAUUCCUUUAAUGCUUUUGUUCUCUAAUUGUUUUCACAUUAUCUAUCAAUAUUUUCAUACAAGAUUAUUAUUCAUUCAAAAAAGAUGUCAACAUAAUCCAUACUAAGUAUACUGAUCAAUUCUAUAUUAUUGUAUCUGUUUAGUUAGAUGAUUCCCUAUUUUAAUAAAUUUGGAUAUCAAAUAUUGAUUUAAUAGUUUAUCUGAAGGAAAUAUUGUUCGAUUAAACAGAAGGCACCGGAGGUAAUAAUUAUUACUCUAUGUCUUGGGUACAAUAGCGUAAUAGAAAUUUAUAACAAGAACAUACACUAGAAAUGUCGUCUAUAAGUAAUAUUAGGUGAAAUGCAUUUUAUGAUAUAUUUGUACCUCAUAAAAUUCAAAUUAAAAUCAAAAUAAGAAAAUACAAUCACAUGUAUCUAAUUAAAUUUUGAUUAUUUAUUUAAUAGGUUUAGACAUUAACUAAUCAUUUUGAUCUUGACAAACAAGUAAUCAUAUGACAAUCCACGUUAAUUAGCCACAUAACCUAUACUUUAUAUUUUCACGCAUAACUAUUUGGCCAAUGCAAAAUCAUAUAUCAUAUGACUCGACAUGCACGUACAUAUUAAAAUCACUUAUAAAUCGAAUUGUAACAAUAGACUAAUAAGUAUUAAUCACACAGAAUUUUGCAUAGUCUGUUGUGCUAACGAUAAAGGUCUCGUCCAAAUGUAUUGUUUGGGGAGGCGAACUUAUCCUCUCGGUACUUAGUCAUCAGCCCCCGAUAACUUUGAAUAUAUAUAGUCUGUUGGCAUUCUAAGAAUCAAAUUUUAGAUAGUUGCAUCGGCUUGGCUGAUUCAAGGGGCACAAACUUUUCGUGUGUUGCCUGAGUUCUAUUCUGACUUUAAUCCAACAACAACAACAAUUACCCAAUAUACUCCCACCAGGUGGGGUCUGGGGUGUAAUAUGUAGACAAGCCUUACCCCUAUCCGAAAGGGCAGAGAGGCUGUUUCCAAUCGACCCCCGGCUCAUAGGAUAAAAGAAAAAACAGCAGUAACACAAAAACAAAGAAUUACUCCAAUCAACUGUAUGUUGUUCAUAUAGUUGGCCAAUGUGUAUUUUCGAUCUCCAAAGUCUGAUGUUUCAACUAUCAGUCCUUUUUAUAGUCAACAUAAUUAAGUAUUUUGAUAAAAAUCCAUCCUAAAAUUUGAUAAACCACGUGAACCGAGACCCGUGCCGACAUACGGAAAGGCUCCUAUGGUAACGUAGCCUCAUUUAUUUCCACUUAUAUCCUUCAAAAGACACAAAUGCAUUGGUUUGCUCUUCGUUUUUGUCUCUUUUUCCUUUUUGUUUCUUAGAUUGGAAUUUUGGUCUGAAUAGAGCUUAGACCUGACAGGCACUCUUUUCACACUCGAUAUUUAUACAAAAUAAAUGAAUACAAGACAUAUUUUGUAUUUAAAAUUUUAUCAUGAAUAAGCAUUAUAAUAAUAUAAAUAUUAUGUAUGCCCACUUAAAUUUAUUAAUCUUAAAGUUAAAUUACUGUAUGUAGUGAAAAUAUUGGGUGCCCUUAAAUUGAUACUAAUGUUCUCUCGUUUCGAAGGAACAAAUCUUAGACAGAGUCAAACCGCCCAACCACACAAAUUUUAGUAGGUGACGCCAUUUAUGUCGUUCGUUUCCACCGAAAAAACGACACAUUUUAUAAUCAAAGGAAGUCAAAACAAGCCAAGACAAACGUAACAGAGCAAUAUAGUAAUGUAUAAAGUCCAACGCAUAAGAGCCAGUUGGCGUGAAAAUAUCUCUAACAACAAAAAACAGAAUAACACAGUCACUCGUCGGUGAAUAAGUCUCAUCUUUUAGUAAGAAACAAAUUUUAAGUGGGGAAAUUGUGUUUCUCAUACUUUACAGAAUAGUUAGUGUAAGAUAUUUCAAACAUAUAAACAUAACAUCUGUACUACAUUUUGUGAAACACCAGGAGUGGACUCGUUUUGGUCAUCACUUUUCAGAAGUAAACUAAGUGUUUGGUUCAAAUUUGAAGUAGUAGAGGAUCAAAUUGAAGAUGGAAGAUUUGUGGUAAAAGAUGGUUUUUCCAGUUAGACGUGCUUGGUUCGUGUUUUCUGCUCGUGUCAAGGCUCCUAAAAAUGGUUAGUCCUCUACACCCCCGAACAAAACAACUACCACAAUAAACCGAGUGAACUUGAUGGUUCUUUAACAGAUCCUUAAGGUUUUCCAUCACUUCUAUACAAACAAUAAAGUUCCAGACGAAAGAGCAAAUUAAUGUUUAAUCAAGUCGUCAGUAUUCUUCGUAUUAUAUUGCUACUUUUAGAACCAAAAAAGAACCUUUAUCUACAUCCCCUUCUAAAUGUAAGAAAUAUUCCAUGCCUUAAAGAAAUCACACGGCAACAAAUUGGACGAGCCGAUAAAAUGUUAGGCAUAGUAAAUGACCUAAAAUUGUAGUCUCUGUUAAUGGAACAAAUACUGUAAUUGACAACAUAUGCAAACAAUAUAAUCCUAUCUUAGGGUCUGCUUACCAUUGGUAAGUUGAUAUAUUGCCAUAAAUCUUGUAAUAAUGUUAGUUAGACACUUGUGAGCUUUCGCACUUGACAAAUUAAAUAUAUGCUAAGAAUGACUUUUAUGAUUCCAUUAGGAGUCAUUUUCUAUGUAUAAGCCCCCCAAGUCAGGCCAACUUGUUAAUAAUAUAAGCUGCUAAUCAAGUCAAUGAUGGCUUUGUUUUGGGCAACCUUUAAUCUAUUUUUCUACUGCCACCCAUUAAUGCCUUAAUAUUUCUCAGUGCAUUAACUAGUAGGCAAAAUUGGCAUAGCACCAUUUUUCUUCAGGAUAAGCAGAUGACCUUCCAGAAAGUAGAUAAGAGCACAUAGUAUUCAUGGUAUCUGAUUCCUUAAUAGGACAACAUUUCAGAUAGCCUAAACAUAUCACUUGCCACUUCAUAUAGCUCUAGAGAGAGUCCCUAGUCCACAACGGCCUAUAUGCUUCAUUUUCUGCAGGCAAGUCUCCAGAAGUACUGAUAUAUUAUGAAUUAUCAGUACUCUAGGGUCGAAGAGAAACUUUUAACCUUUUGGUACAAAGAAAUUGGACAGUGAACGAGAAGAGUGAAAACAUAGAACAGUAGCUUUAAGGAUCACUAACAUGGUUUUAUGUUGGUUUUUGUUUCCUUCAGGUGCUGGAUUAUUGAAGCUUCAUGGUGAUAUACAGUCCUGCGGGUAUGCAGAUGUACAGGUGAUGUGGGAAAUGCUUGGAGGAAUGGAGUCAGAGUUGACAUCUCGGCACAUUAAGCAAAAGCACCAUCUAUCAUUUAGUAAUUUUGUAUGGCCCAACCAUAGUGCUAAAUCUGCAUCCUUCUCCGCAGAUCAUGCUCGUUAAGAUGAUAUAUGAUGUACUCCAUCAAUAAGAGUAUUUGAAGAAUUUUGUAUGGUCCAACCAUAGUGCUAAAUCUGCAUCCUUCUCCAAUGAUCAUGCUCAUUAAGAUGAUAUGUGCUGCACUGCAUCAAUAAGAGCAUCUGAAGAGUGAAGGGAUGUAUGCCACUGAAAAGUAUAUGUAGUGUUCAUAUCAGCAUAUGAAGUAUGUUUAUCAACUUGGACCACUAUAGCCAGCAUGAAAGUAUCGGGACUGUCAUGGCGACAGUAUCAGCUGUAAAUAUACAAAUUUUCCUGAUGAUGUACGAAAACCCGGCACUAAAUAGAGAAAAAGAAUUUUGAAGAGCUCAGUUUUCCUUACUUUCUUUGCUUAAAUUUGAUAUAUAGAACAAAAAUUACUAUAAGGAUUUAACUCAUACCCGUUGUGGCGACCAUAUUCUACAGGACACAGUUCCAAUAAAUUGGAGGCGAUGUUAUCGAAACAGCCCCAUCAACAAGGUGACAUCUGAAAGAAGAACCAAAUCAUACUCCAUGUUAAUGCCUAGCAUAUUAUUCCUUAGAUGGACCAUAAAUAACAAAGUUUUACUAUGAAGCCCUAGACAUUGAUGUGCUUCAAUUCACCACUGGAAGGUCGAUUGCAUAUAGUAUGGAGUAUGGCUAUCCACUUCACUGAUGACGCCAGCAGUGCAACAAUGGUGUAACCUGUAACUUAACACAAUCCUGCUAUCUAACAGGACCAUCAACAACAACAACAACAACCCAGUAUAAUCCCACUUAGUGGGGUCUGGGGAGGGUAGUGUNNNNNNNNNNNNNNNNNNNNNNNNNNNNNNNNNNNNNNNNNNNNNNNNNNNNNNNNNNNNNNNNNNNNNNNNNNGGUCUGGGGAGGGUAGUGUGUACGCAAACCUUACCCCUACCCUGGGGUAGAGAGGCUGUUUCCAAAUAGACCCCCGGCAUCCUCCCUCCAAGAACUUUCCACCUUGCUAUCUAACAGGACCAAAGAAAAGAAAAACUCUCAAGAGAUCAAUUUCCUUGACAAAACCUGUAUCACUUGUGGUGGUUAUGCCACCAGUGACACAGUGCUGACAAACUUGAAUGCUGUCAUGUCCAAAGUUCAAACCACGGAAAAAGAAAAAAAGAAAAAAGAUCUCAUUCAUAUAUCAUCAUAAUGCUCUCACACCCCUCUAUAAAAUGAAUGCAAAAUAUUAAGUUGAUUCGGCUUCUAUACCAUGCAUCAGUCCAAGAGCUUUAGGAUCCACCAGAGGGCUGAAGGAGAAUGCAACAAAAAGAAACAUUGGUUCUGCUUCUAUACCAUGCAUUCAUCGGAAAGCUUUAGCAUCUCCCAUAGGGCUGAAUUCAUGGGAAACUUCAAAACUCCAAAUAAUUUUUGUUUCCAAAUGCAUAGAGAGUGCCAUAGAGAUGCCACAGCAAAAAAAAAACAUGCAGGGCUUUAAACUUUAGUUGCUUCUACAGGAAUGAAGCUCAAGAUUAGCAACAAAUAAUGAUACAAUGAGUUCAUCCAUUAAAUAUCCUAUCGAAGCUCCAUUAAUUAGUAAUUUG
RNAcentral lists this long non-coding RNA (7564 nucleotides) under Nicotiana benthamiana. RNAcentral's name for it is "long non-coding RNA (NBEN_LNC024476)". Lineage: Eukaryota; Viridiplantae; Streptophyta; Magnoliopsida; Solanales; Solanaceae. The record is from RNAcentral.